UUCUUGUUCUUCUUCGUUAUUUCCAACAACUCCGUCAUUCUCAAUCGCCUCCACCACUUCUAUCUUCAUCGCUCACUGUCACCAUAAUCUUUGCUGCCUCCACAAAACCAGCAUGACCACCUCCGUCGUGUCCACCACGAUUAUAAGCAGAUCUUUUACGAUGUGCUUUCGAUUUCAAAUGAUUACAAACCAGAGGAAGGAUUUUAAUUUGAUUUUGGAUUUCGAUUUAAUAGUUUCCAGUGGAUUACGAGUUAAAGAUUCAGAUCCAGUGAGUUUGAUCUUGAGCUUUGUUCAUUCUGAAACUCAAAUUGGUAAGAUUUAAUUUUAGGUUUUGAAAUUUGAAAUUUCUGAAAACUAAUUUAGGUUGUUGCUGUUGCAUGUGUGAUGCUAAUGGAUGUCAUAGUGGUAGCGGUAGGUGUUGUCGCAGUACGAAAUUGUUUGUUUAUCAUUUAACCAUUUAUUCAAUACCAAAAUACCAAAUUGUGGUGUUGUUAAUAACACUUCACAAUCGGAUCCAAGUUGACCCCAGGAGAUGUCUUGGGAUUGCACUUCGUUGAGGCUACCAAAUUCAAGAUUGGUGAUGAUGAAUACAAAGUUGACAUGCAGGAGAGGUAAUGAUACUAAUGUUACAAAUUAAGUACAUGAAUAUGUUUAAUAGGAACAGUAUAAAAGAUUUGUGAAAAAUGAAUGAUUUUUGUUUGGGUCAAGUUUUCCCUUACCAAGUCGAAAUUAUUCUGGUAGUAUGCUUUUUUACUACGAUGCAUUGAUGCAAAUGUGUUGUUAAUGCCUGCAUAAGCACACCAUCAAAAUUUAAUCCAUUGGUUGGCCAACAACGAGACAACUAUUAGUCUGAUUUGGUUGUUCUAAACACCGUUGCGGCUAGGAGGAAGCAUAGGAUGAUGUUGGUAGAUGCUGCAAUAAAGGUGGAGGUGCUGGCAGUGACUGAAAUGUGCAGUAUAGAAGUGAAAAUGGAGUUGUUGGUGUUGUUUUCCAUGAAUCUGAAAUUGCAAGUUUGGAUUGUUGUUUA
Papaver somniferum (opium poppy) is the source of this 1027-nucleotide long non-coding RNA. RefSeq lists it as uncharacterized. The record is from RefSeq and is a predicted model, not a curated record. NCBI's taxonomy places the organism in Eukaryota, Viridiplantae, Streptophyta, Magnoliopsida, Ranunculales, Papaveraceae. The transcript is spliced from 2 exons.